Molecule: ribosomal RNA, 449 nt
Filed under: uncultured bacterium
Lineage: Bacteria
Description: partial 16S ribosomal RNA
Rfam family: Bacterial small subunit ribosomal RNA
Source: RNAcentral
GUGGGGAAUCUUCCGCAAUGGACGAAAGUCUGACGGAGCGACGCCGCGUGAGUGAUGAAGGCCUUCGGGUCGUAAAGCUCUGUCAUCGGGGACGAACGGCCUCAGCAGGUAAUGGCUGGGGAUUGACGGUACCCGAGAAGGAAGCCACGGCUAACUACGUGCCAGCAGCCGCGGUAAUACGUAGGUGGCAAGCGUUGUCCGGAAUUAUUGGGCGUAAAGCGCGCGCAGGUGGGAUCUUAAGUCCAUUUUGAAAGUUCGGAGCUCAACUCCGUGAUGGGAUGGAAACUGGGAUUCUUGAGUACCGGAGAGGAAAGCGGAAUUCCCCGUGUAGCGGUGAAAUGCGUAGAUAUGGGGAGGAACACCAGUGGCGAAGGCGGCUUUCUGGACGGUGUCUGACACUGAGGCGCGAAAGCCAGGGGAGCGAACGGGAUUAGAAACCCGAGUAGUCC